UACGUAGGGGGCAAGCGUUAUCCGGAUUUACUGGGUGUAAAGGGAGCGUAGCCGGCUUUGCAAGCCAGAUGUGAAAGCCCGGGGCUCAACCCCGGGACUGCAUUUGGAACUGUAUGGCUGGAGUGUCGGAGAGGCAGGCGGAAUUCCUAGGGUAGCGGUGAAAUGCGUAGAUAUUAGGAGGAACACCAGUGGCGAAGGCGGCCUGCUGGACGAUGACUGACGUUGAGGCUCGAAAGCGUGGGGAGCAAACAGG
RNAcentral lists this ribosomal RNA (253 nucleotides) under uncultured bacterium. Its description in RNAcentral is "partial 16S ribosomal RNA". It matches the Rfam family "Bacterial small subunit ribosomal RNA", at positions 524 to 776 of the family's 1533-position model. The record is from RNAcentral.